UGGACCGAGCGGGUGUGGAUUUGGUUUUGGGCUGAUUUUUGGAUCUUUUUGAGCUCUAUUUUGCAUCCAAUUUAAGUCAUUUUAACCUCCAACUUGAGCUCGUUGCUUUGACAAUCAUCUUUUCUGUAAAAUACAAGCAAAAGCAACAAUUCUUGAGGAAUAAAAAACAAUUAGUAUCUAUUUUGAUGCUCCUUUUGGGAUAUUUAAUG
Molecule: long non-coding RNA, 209 nt
Filed under: Elaeis guineensis (African oil palm)
Lineage: Eukaryota; Viridiplantae; Streptophyta; Magnoliopsida; Arecales; Arecaceae
Description: long non-coding RNA (EGUI_LNC035652)
Source: RNAcentral